UUUCCGUAGGUGAACCUGCGGAAGGAUCAUUAUCGAAUUUCGAGGGGGAGGAAGAUGAGGAGUGGAGACUGUCGCUGGCUUUCCCGCCUGGGAAGCAUGUGCACGCCUUGUUUUUCGUUGACCUUUCUCUUACUCUCACACCUGUGCACCCAUUGUAGGUCCUCGAAAGAGGAUCUAUGUUUUUAUCAUCACACGCAUCGUAUGUCCAUAGAAUGUAACAUGAUCGUCGAUCGACCUCGCGGUCGGGUGGCGGUCUAAAUAAAUAAAUACAACUUUCAGCAACGGAUCUCUUGGUUCUC
Molecule: unclassified non-coding RNA, 299 nt
Filed under: plant metagenome
Description: partial contains small subunit ribosomal RNA, internal transcribed spacer 1, and 5.8S ribosomal RNA
Source: RNAcentral